UACGUAGGUGGCAAGCGUUGUCCGGAAUUAUUGGGCGUAAAGCGCGCGCAGGUGGUUCUUUAAGUCUGAUGUGAAAGCCCACGGCUCAACCGUGGAGGGUCAUUGGAAACUGGGGAACUUGAGUGCAGAAGAGGAAAGUGGAAUUCCACGUGGAGCGGUGAAAUGCGUAGAUAUCGCUUGGAACGCCAAAGGUGAAAACAGGUUGCUGGGGUUGUGCCGACGCUGAGACACGAAAGCCAGGGGAGCAAACGGG
RNAcentral lists this ribosomal RNA (253 nucleotides) under uncultured bacterium. RNAcentral describes it as "partial 16S ribosomal RNA". It matches the Rfam family "Bacterial small subunit ribosomal RNA", at positions 524 to 776 of the family's 1533-position model. The record is from RNAcentral.